This 434-nucleotide ribosomal RNA is filed under the name uncultured prokaryote. RNAcentral describes it as "bacterial SSU rRNA". It matches the Rfam family "Bacterial small subunit ribosomal RNA", at positions 342 to 791 of the family's 1533-position model. The record is from RNAcentral.
CGGGGCGCAGCAGUGAGGAAUUUUCCGCAAUGGGCGAAAGCCUGACGGAGCAAUACCGCGUGGAGGAUGAAGGCGUACGCGUUGUAAACUCCUUUUCCCAAGGAGGAAGAUCUGACGUUACUUGGGGAAUAAGCAUCGGCUAACCCUGUGCCAGCAGCCGCGGUAAUACAGGGGAUGCAAGUGUUAUCCGGAAUCAUUGGGCGUAAAGCGUCUGCAGGUGGAUUGAAAAGUCUUUUGUUAAAUCUCUAGGCUUAACCUGGAAUCUGCAAAAGAAACUAUUAAUCUUGAGUCGAGUAGAGGGAAAGGGAAUUUCCAGUGGAGCGGUGAAAUGCGUAGAGAUUGGAAGGAACACCAACAGCGAAGGCACUUUCCUGGGCUCCGACUGACACUCAGAGACGAAAGCUAAGGGAGCAAACAGGAUUAGAUACCCUGGU